Molecule: ribosomal RNA, 1144 nt
Filed under: Salmonella enterica
Lineage: Bacteria; Pseudomonadati; Pseudomonadota; Gammaproteobacteria; Enterobacterales; Enterobacteriaceae
Also listed under: 1 other name
Description: partial 23S ribosomal RNA
Rfam family: Bacterial large subunit ribosomal RNA
Source: RNAcentral
AGACCCGAAACCCGGUGAUCUAGCCAUGGGCAGGUUGAAGGUUGGGUAACACUAACUGGAGGACCGAACCGACUAAUGUUGAAAAAUUAGCGGAUGACCUGUGGCUGGGGGUGAAAGGCCAAUCAAACCGGGAGAUAGCUGGUUCUCCCCGAAAGCUAUUUAGGUAGCGCCUCGUGAAUUCAUCUCCGGGGGUAGAGCACUGUUUCGGCUAGGGGGCCAUCCCGGCUUACCAACCCGAUGCAAACUGCGAAUACCGGAGAAUGUUAUCACGGGAGACACACGGCGGGUGCUAACGUCCGUCGUGAAGAGGGAAACAACCCAGACCGCCAGCUAAGGUCCCAAAGUCAUGGUUAAGUGGGAAACGAUGUGGGAAGGCCCAGACAGCCAGGAUGUUGGCUUAGAAGCAGCCAUCAUUUAAAGAAAGCGUAAUAGCUCACUGGUCGAGUCGGCCUGCGCGGAAGAUGUAACGGGGCUAAACCAUGCACCGAAGCUGCGGCAGCGAACGUAUCACCCAAGACAACUUUACGGAGUUGACGAUUGACGGAGCGAAGCGACGUCAAAGCGUUCAUUAAAGUCGAGUUGGCUUAGGGAUACGUUCGUUGGGUAGGGGAGCGUUCUGUAAGCCUGUGAAGGUGUGUCGUGAGGCAUGCUGGAGGUAUCAGAAGUGCGAAUGCUGACAUAAGUAACGAUAAAGCGGGUGAAAAGCCCGCUCGCCGGAAGACCAAGGGUUCCUGUCCAACGUUAAUCGGGGCAGGGUGAGUCGACCCCUAAGGCGAGGCCGAAAGGCGUAGUCGAUGGGAAACGGGUUAAUAUUCCCGUACUUGGUGUUACUGCGAAGGGGGGACGGAGAAGGCUAUGUUGGCCGGGCGACGGUUGUCCCGGUUUAAGCGUGUAGGUGUGUGUUCCAGGUAAAUCCGGUUCACUUUAACACUGAGGCGUGACGACGAGGCACUACGGUGCUGAAGCAACAAAUGCCCUGCUUCCAGGAAAAGCCUCUAAGCAUCAGGUAACAUCAAAUCGUACCCCAAACCGACACAGGUGGUCAGGUAGAGAAUACCAAGGCGCUUGAGAGAACUCGGGUGAAGGAACUAGGCAAAAUGGUGCCGUAACUUCGGGAGAAGGCACGCUGACACGUAGGUGAAGU